AAGGCUGAGUGCCUGUUCCCCGGCCAAGCGGGGUUUGGGGGAGAGGGCCAGGGGGCCGGGCCGUCCUGCCACACUUGGGGCCGAUGUCCAGCUGAGAGGGUGGCGGGGAGCAGGAAAGGAAGGUGCAGGAGUCAGGAACAUCCCCAAAGCCGCCCUCACUUCUGACCCCGAUUGCAAGUUCAAGAGUCCCCAAGCCACCCUGAGGUUCACUACUCCUUAGAAGGACUCCAGACUCACCGGAGGCUCCAUGGUUUAUUACAGCAAGAGGAUACAGACCAAAAUCAGCCAAGGACAGAGUGUCCCUACCUCUCUGUACUUGCUUCCUCUUUCCCAGUCAUUCAAGCCCUGCCUCACCUCAGAACCCCAUCCAGCGGCUGUGAGCACCUUCCCCUCCAUGGGGACGCUGCGGGCACUACCCUACUCGUCGUGAUGCUACCUUCCCUGUUAAGAGAGAAUUACAUUUUCAAGUUAAAAACAUAGCAACGUAUUAUCUAUUUCUUCUG
Molecule: non-coding RNA, 503 nt
Organism: Leptonychotes weddellii (Weddell seal)
Lineage: Eukaryota; Metazoa; Chordata; Mammalia; Carnivora; Phocidae
Source: RefSeq, a predicted model, not a curated record